Molecule: transfer RNA, 72 nt
Filed under: Bacteroidales bacterium KA00251
Lineage: Bacteria; Pseudomonadati; Bacteroidota; Bacteroidia; Bacteroidales
Also listed under: 2 other names
Rfam family: tRNA
About the family: Transfer RNA (tRNA) molecules are approximately 80 nucleotides in length. Their secondary structure includes four short double-helical elements and three loops (D, anti-codon, and T loops).
Source: Rfam by way of RNAcentral
GCCUGUGUAGCUCAGUGGUAGAGCACUUCCUUGGUAAGGAAGAGGUCCCGGGUUCAAAUCCCGGCACCGGCU